ACAGUUGAUGAAAAAAGCGGUACAGAUGGUUUUGUGAUGGUACACAUAAGGUACAGUAACUAUUCGGAUGGGUACACUUAAAUGACUUUAAAGAUUAUUUUGUUUUUAUUCAUUAGUUAUAGUCGUUUAUCACUCCAAAACAAUAGUAAUUUAGUAAACUAUGUGGUACACUUUCGAAUGGUUUUCGGUACAGUGAAGUUUGGUACAGUAAAUAUACAUAUUCAACACGAAAAAAUAUUUUCACGUGCGGACAUUUGAGUAGUCAUCCGGUGGGAAGUACAGUUUUGAAGAAAAAUCCCGAUUUACCCGAAGGUCAUUUCUUGCGAGGAUGGUUCGACAAUGUCGGUGGACGUGAAAUUCGCAACAGCAUUUCGGCAUUAGUUUUUAAUACCGAAUGGUUGACAUUCCAUGAAGCCAAAUUGAAGAAUCUUGGAAAUGGUGACAAACCCGAUUACUUUCAAAUUAAAGGCACAAUCAAUGUGAUUCGCAAUCAAAAUCUUGUCUACAAGGCUUGUACACUAGAUCAAUGCAAGAAAAAAGUCGAAGAGAAAGGCAACGGCUAGUAUUUUUGCGCUAGUUGCAAUUUUGAAUCGGCAAAUUUCAAGUAUCGUAUGCUUGUUAACAUGAGCAUUGCCGAUUGGACAUCGAAUCGUUGGGCAACAGUAUUUGCGGACGAUGCUGAAAAACUGCUGGGCAAAAGCUGCGAUGAAAUUGGAAUGAUGGCAGAACGUGACCAAACCGAAUUGAAUACUUAUCUUCGAGCUCAACACUUCCGGUCGUUUAUGUUCUAGUUUCAUAAGUACACGUACAAGAACGAUCAGAAAAACACGGACAACGUCAUUUUUAUUUCAUAUUUCAUAUAUAUGGUUCAUUCGAAAGCACCAUAUAAAAAAGAACAGGAAAAACUUAUAAAUUCAAUUCUCAGAUAGAAAUCUAUCGUUAAUAACAGCUAUUUCUGAAUAGUUUAUCUCCCUUUCUUUAAGUAAUCA
This is a long non-coding RNA of Contarinia nasturtii (swede midge), 989 nucleotides long. RefSeq lists it as uncharacterized. The transcript is spliced from 3 exons. NCBI's taxonomy places the organism in Eukaryota, Metazoa, Arthropoda, Insecta, Diptera, Cecidomyiidae. The record is from RefSeq and is a predicted model, not a curated record.